UUGCAACGCGGAAGAACCUUACCUGGUCUUGACAUCCACGGAAGUUUUCAGAGAUGAGAAUGUGCCUUCGGGAACCGUGAGACAGGUGCUGCAUGGCUGUCGUCAGCUCGUGUUGUGAAAUGUUGGGUUAAGUCCCGCAACGAGCGCAACCCUUAUCCUUUGUUGCCAGCGGUCCGGCCGGGAACUCAAAGGAGACUGCCAGUGAUAAACUGGAGGAAGGUGGGGAUGACGUCAAGUCAUCAUGGCCCUUACGACCAGGGCUACACACGUGCUACAAUGGCGCAUACAAAGAGAAGCGACCUCGCGAGAGCAAGCGGACCUCAUAAAGUGCGUCGUAGUCCGGAUUGGAGUCUGCAACUCGACUCCAUGAAGUCGGAAUCGCUAGUAAUCGUGGAUCAGAAUGCCACGGUGAAUACGUUCCCGGGCCUUGUACACACCGCCCGUCACACCAUGGGAGUGGGUUGCAAAAGAAGUAGGUAGCUUAACCUUCGGGAGGGCGCUUACCACUUUGUGAUUCAUGACUGGGGUGAAGUCGUAAAAAGGUAACCCAA
Molecule: ribosomal RNA, 551 nt
Filed under: Salmonella enterica subsp. enterica serovar Senftenberg
Lineage: Bacteria; Pseudomonadati; Pseudomonadota; Gammaproteobacteria; Enterobacterales; Enterobacteriaceae
Also listed under: 1 other name
Description: bacterial SSU rRNA
Rfam family: Bacterial small subunit ribosomal RNA
Source: RNAcentral